Molecule: ribosomal RNA, 253 nt
Filed under: uncultured bacterium
Lineage: Bacteria
Description: partial 16S ribosomal RNA
Rfam family: Bacterial small subunit ribosomal RNA
Source: RNAcentral
GACGAACCGUCCAAACGUUAUUCGGAAUUACUGGGCGUAAAGGGCGCGUAGGCGGCCUGCUAAGUCGAACGUGAAAUCCCUGGGCUCAACCCAGGAACUGCGUCCGAUACUGGUUGGCUUGAAUCCGGGAGAGGGACGUGGAAUUCCAGGUGUAGCGGUGAAAUGCGUAGAUAUCUGGAGGAACACCGGUGGCGAAGGCGACGUCCUGGACCGGCAUUGACGCUGAGGCGCGAAAGCCAGGGGAGCAAACGGG